RNAcentral lists this ribosomal RNA (254 nucleotides) under uncultured bacterium. RNAcentral describes it as "partial 16S ribosomal RNA". It matches the Rfam family "Bacterial small subunit ribosomal RNA", at positions 524 to 776 of the family's 1533-position model. The record is from RNAcentral.
UACGUAGGGGGCAAGCGUUGUCCGGAAUCAUUGGGCGUAAAGCGCGUGUAGGCGGGCCGGCACGUCCGGUGCUGAAAGCCCCCGGCUCAACCGGGGAAGUGGCACGGAUACGACCGGCCUCGAGGGGGGUAGGGGGACCUGGAACUUCCGGUGGAGCGGUGAAAUGCGUUGAGAUCGGAAGGAACGCCCGUGGCGAAAGCGAGGUCCUGGGCCCUUACUGCCGCUGAGACGCGAAAGCCAGGGGAGCGAACGGG